UCAAGAACUAGACAUAUCUACAUGACAUAACAAUAAAAUAAUUACAAGUUUUGAGAUAAUAUAUAUAAUUUUGAGAUUAAUUAUGUAAAAAAUUUUACCUUUUUCAUUGUUGGACGAGAGUUUGGAGGUUGAUUUAGACAAGAAUUAACGCAGGAAACUAUUCGAUACAUUUGUUCAUGGUCAAAGGAUUGUAAAUUGGAAUCUAUAAAAUUUGUAUAUUUUCCUUCCAAAGCCUUUUUAAUUAGAGGAUUUGCCUACAAAAUAUUAAUUAAAAAAUUAUUUAUUAAUGAAUCAUAAAUGCAUUGGAUUGAAAUCUAAAUAACUAUUGAGAUCUAAAUUCAAAACUUUAUAAAUAGUAAAUAGAAUUUUUAUAUCAUAGCUUUAUUAAAGCAAAUAGAGCCAUACCCAAGUAAUAAUGUCAAUGCCAUUGUAUAUAGGUUUUCUUCCGGUAAUCAAUUCUAAAAGUAUAACUCCAAAAGAAUAAAUAUCAGAUUUAUCGGAAUACUUCCUCAAUUUUGUUGUCAGCGGAUCUUCGUAACUGCAAUAGAAUUUGUUAAGAUUAUUAAUAUUAUCAAAUUAAGGAUUACUUAUAUUUUUUUAUGUGUUAUUUUAUUUAUUUUAUUUAUUUUAAUAUUUAUUUUAUUUUAAAUUAUUCUAAGAGAAGAUAAUAAUAGCAUUUGAAAAAAUAGAAAAUAAUAUCAAUGCAAUUAAAUGAUAGAAAGAAAAUUAUAUCUUACACAUGGGUUCCCAUAACUGAUGAUAUGGAUAUGUGAGUAGCACCGUUGGUAAAAAAUUGAGCAAGUCCAAAAUCUGUUAUCUAAAUAAAUAAUUUAAGUUAAUUUAUUAUGCCAUUUAUAUACAUAUCUUAAUUUAAAAUUAAAGUUAUUUUUCACACUUAGUUCUAUGAAUAUACUUUUACUUUUUUUUAUUUGAUAAAUUACACAAUUUUCUGUACUUCAAUAAAGUUGAUUAAGAAAAUAUUAAAUCUUUAAAAAAAGACAAAAAAGACCUUGAUUUAUUAAUUUUUUUUAUAAGCAAUCAAUUUUAUUAAAAAAGCCAAAAAUAUAUGGCCAAACCAAAAAAGAAUUAGAACCAGAUUUAUUAAUUAAUUACAAAAAUCAAAUUAUAUAAUUAAGGAGUUCACAUAAUUACAAUAAUAGGUUUAUUCUGGUGAUAAGUGUAUCCGAUUAGAUCCGAGAGAUCUCAGAUUCUGCUUCUCCAAUCUCCAAUUUCCAAUUCAAAAAAAAAGUUCACAUAAUUUUUCAAUAUUAUUCAAAAAUAAAAUUUCGGUAUUCAGUGAUUAAGGUUUUACUAUACAUGAUUAUAUAAAUAAAAUAUUUAUUUAUUAUAAAAUUACUUUACCUUAUAAAAUUACUUUACCUUAGGUUCAAAAUCUUGAUCAAGAAGAAUAUUAUUUGGUUUGAUAUCUAAAUGAAUAAUUUUAGAAUUACCUGAAAAAAUAUAAAAUGUAAAUCAGAGAAAAAAAAUUAUCAAUAUAAAUAAAAAUAAAUAAAUUCACACUCAAAAGCUAAAGUCCUGCCAAGUAAGAAUAUGUAGUAGUAUAUACUCACAGUGUUCAUGUAAAUAUUCCAAUCCUUUUGCAGAACCUGUGGCGAUCUUCAUUCUUUUUUCCCAGUCCAAAACAUUCCCAUUUCCUACAAUACCAUUUGUAAUUUUAAGAUUUAUCAUGUCAUAUUGAUUAUUUAUACGAAUAUAAAAGUAAAAGAAAGGAUAUAUAGGACUCACCAUGUAAUUUAGAUCUCAAGGACCCAUUUGGAAAAUACUUUAAAAUAAGCAAUCUAUUGGUUCCAUCAAUGCAGUAACCAACCAAUUCAACGAGGUUUGUGUGACUGACGCUUUUGACGACCAUAAUCUCCCUCUCCAAAUCUUUUUCGCAUUGUACAUCCGGAAAAUCAAGUUUCUUAAUAGCACGGAUCUCACCAUCUAAGGAUGCCUUAAAAACAUGACCAAAACUACCUCGACCAAUUAGGUUAUUGAGCGAGAAAUGACCUGUUGCCCUUAUUAGUUCACCGUAUGAAUAUGACUUUGGCCCAAUAGUCUUCUCAGGAGAUGAGCCAAAUUCAUUCUGAUCUGUGCUUAGUGACAAUCAAUAAACAAUAUGCCUCAAUUAGUUAGGUGAAAUGAAAUCUCCAUGAAACUAUUACUAUUUGGUUUUUGAAUGAGAAAUCAUCGGUUGCCAUUGUUAGUUCAUCAUAUGAAUAUUGUUUUAUCCCAAAACCCUUAUGAUGAUUCGGUUCUGUGAUUAGUGACCAAACAAUAAACAACGUGCCUCAAUUAGUUAGAUGAAAUGAAAUUUCAAUAUGAGAAAUGAAAUUAUAAUCAUUUUGUGAUUGUAAAUAACAUGGCAAUUUCAUUAGCCUUUAAUGAAAAAUCUAAUAUCAGAAUUAAUUCAAACGAAUAUAAAAGUAUUUAAUUGACGAAGUAUAAAAGCAAGAAAGAGUAAGAUGUGAUUGUAAAAAUAGAAAAAAGAUAGGAAUUUUUUUAUCAUUAACCCUUCAUUUAAUUUUAAGAAAUAGUAAAUAAAAUACGUUUUUAAUUUUGCACCCUUCAUAUAAGGCAACAAAGGAGGUUUCAGUUCAUAAAUGAUUUUUCUUUAUUGUUUCAUGAUUAAAAUUAAUUAAUAAGAAAUCAUAACCCUAUAAGUAAUUCUAUUCUUCUAAUUCAAAUAAAAUUAUAUGUUUAAUCUUGAAACUAUUCAAUCCUAUAAAUAUUAACUAUGUUAUUUAAUUCAAUAAUUGACAAAAUUAAUGAUUAAGGAAUUAUGUAUGACUUUGAGGUAAAAUUUUCAUCAUUUUUUUUACAGUUUGUUUGAAUAAUUAGAAGAUAAAAAUUAUAUUUCAUUAAUAUGAUAACAAUUUUGACUAAAAAACUAAUUUAUUCUACAUUUCAAAUUAAAAAAAUUAAUAUUUAUGCAGUUGAAAAUCCACAUUUGUUUCUAAUUUUAAGAUAAGACACAAAUUAAAUGAAAAAUAAUUUAGGCAUCAAUUUGAUCUAAGUUUUAGUAUAAAUAUGCAUAUAAUUUCUAAUAAAUUAACAUAAAAGGAUAUAGACCUCUAUGUAUGAUGCUCUUUCGCAAUUUAUGAUCGUAUAAUUCUUCCGGGAGUGAUAUUCCUUCAAGAACUAGACGUAUCUGCAUGACAUAACAAUAAAAUGAUUACAAGGUUUGAGAUAAUAUAUAUAUGGUUUUGGGAUUAGUUAUGUGAAAAAUUUUACCUUUUUCAUUGUUGGCCGAGAGUUUGGAGGUUGAUUUAGACAAGAAUUAACACAAGAAACCAUUCGAUAAAUUUGUUCAUGGUCAAAGGAUUGUAAAUUGGAAUCUAUAAAAUUUGUAUAUCUGCCCUCCAAAGCCUUUUUAAUUAGAGGUUUUGCCUACAAAAUAUUAAUUAAAAAAUUAUUUAUUAAUGAAUCAUAAAUGCAUUGGAUUGAAAUCUAAAUAACUCCAAUUGAGAUCUAAAUUCAAAACUUUAUAAAUGGUA
This 3497-nucleotide long non-coding RNA is filed under the name Manihot esculenta (cassava). RNAcentral describes it as "long non-coding RNA (MESC_LNC006955)". The record is from RNAcentral. Lineage: Eukaryota; Viridiplantae; Streptophyta; Magnoliopsida; Malpighiales; Euphorbiaceae.